GGGUUGUGAGGUUAAGCGACUAAGCGUACACGGUGGAUGCCCUGGCAGUCAGAGGCGAUGAAGGACGUGCUAAUCUGCGAUAAGCGUCGGUAAGGUGAUAUGAACCGUUAUAACCGGCGAUUUCCGAAUGGGGAAACCCAGUGUGAUUCGUCACACUAUCAUUAACUGAAUCCAUAGGUUAAUGAGGCGAACCGGGGGAACUGAAACAUCUAAGUACCCCGAGGAAAAGAAAUCAACCGAGAUUCCCCCAGUAGCGGCGAGCGAACGGGGAGCAGCCCAGAGCCUGAAUCAGUGUGUGUGUUAGUGGAAGCGUCUGGAAAGGCGCGCGAUACAGGGUGACAGCCCCGUACACAAAAAUGCACAUGCUGUGAGCUCGAUGAGUAGGGCGGGACACGUGGUAUCCUGUCUGAAUAUGGGGGGACCAUCCUCCAAGGCUAAAUACUCCUGACUGACCGAUAGUGAACCAGUACCGUGAGGGAAAGGCGAAAAGAACCCCGGCGAGGGGAGUGAAAAAGAACCUGAAACCGUGUACGUACAAGCAGUGGGAGCCUCUUUUAUGGGGUGACUGCGUACCUUUUGUAUAAUGGGUCAGCGACUUAUAUUCUGUAGCAAGGUUAACCGAAUAGGGGAGCCGAAGGGAAACCGAGUCUUAACUGGGCGUUAAGUUGCAGGGUAUAGACCCGAAACCCGGUGAUCUAGCCAUGGGCAGGUUGAAGGUUGGGUAACACUAACUGGAGGACCGAACCGACUAAUGUUGAAAAAUUAGCGGAUGACUUGUGGCUGGGGGUGAAAGGCCAAUCAAACCGGGAGAUAGCUGGUUCUCCCCGAAAGCUAUUUAGGUAGCGCCUCGUGAACUCAUCUCCGGGGGUAGAGCACUGUUUCGGCAAGGGGGUCAUCCCGACUUACCAACCCGAUGCAAACUGCGAAUACCGGAGAAUGUUAUCACGGGAGACACACGGCGGGUGCUAACGUCCGUCGUGAAGAGGGAAACAACCCAGACCGCCAGCUAAGGUCCCAAAGUCAUGGUUAAGUGGGAAACGAUGUGGGAAGGCCCAGACAGCCAGGAUGUUGGCUUAGAAGCAGCCAUCAUUUAAAGAAAGCGUAAUAGCUCACUGGUCGAGUCGGCCUGCGCGGAAGAUGUAACGGGGCUAAACCAUGCACCGAAGCUGCGGCAGCGACACUAUGUGUUGUUGGGUAGGGGAGCGUUCUGUAAGCCUGUGAAGGUGUGCUGUGAGGUAUGCUGGAGGUAUCAGAAGUGCGAAUGCUGACAUAAGUAACGAUAAAGCGGGUGAAAAGCCCGCUCGCCGGAAGACCAAGGGUUCCUGUCCAACGUUAAUCGGGGCAGGGUGAGUCGACCCCUAAGGCGAGGCCGAAAGGCGUAGUCGAUGGGAAACAGGUUAAUAUUCCUGUACUUGGUGUUACUGCGAAGGGGGGACGGAGAAGGCUAUGUUGGCCGGGCGACGGUUGUCCCGGUUUAAGCGUGUAGGCUGGUUUUCCAGGCAAAUCCGGAAAAUCAAGGCUGAGGCGUGAUGACGAGGCACUACGGUGCUGAAGCAACAAAUGCCCUGCUUCCAGGAAAAGCCUCUAAGCAUCAGGUAACAUCAAAUCGUACCCCAAACCGACACAGGUGGUCAGGUAGAGAAUACCAAGGCGCUUGAGAGAACUCGGGUGAAGGAACUAGGCAAAAUGGUGCCGUAACUUCGGGAGAAGGCACGCUGAUAUGUAGGUGAAGUCCCUUGCGGAUGGAGCUGAAAUCAGUCGAAGAUACCAGCUGGCUGCAACUGUUUAUUAAAAACACAGCACUGUGCAAACACGAAAGUGGACGUAUACGGUGUGACGCCUGCCCGGUGCCGGAAGGUUAAUUGAUGGGGUCAGCGCAAGCGAAGCUCUUGAUCGAAGCCCCGGUAAACGGCGGCCGUAACUAUAACGGUCCUAAGGUAGCGAAAUUCCUUGUCGGGUAAGUUCCGACCUGCACGAAUGGCGUAAUGAUGGCCAGGCUGUCUCCACCCGAGACUCAGUGAAAUUGAACUCGCUGUGAAGAUGCAGUGUACCCGCGGCAAGACGGAAAGACCCCGUGAACCUUUACUAUAGCUUGACACUGAACAUUGAGCCUUGAUGUGUAGGAUAGGUGGGAGGCUUAGAAGUGUGGACGCCAGUCUGCAUGGAGCCGACCUUGAAAUACCACCCUUUAAUGUUUGAUGUUCUAACGUUGACCCGUAAUCCGGGUUGCGGACAGUGUCUGGUGGGUAGUUUGACUGGGGCGGUCUCCUCCUAAAGAGUAACGGAGGAGCACGAAGGUUGGCUAAUCCUGGUCGGACAUCAGGAGGUUAGUGCAAUGGCAUAAGCCAGCUUGACUGCGAGCGUGACGGCGCGAGCAGGUGCGAAAGCAGGUCAUAGUGAUCCGGUGGUUCUGAAUGGAAGGGCCAUCGCUCAACGGAUAAAAGGUACUCCGGGGAUAACAGGCUGAUACCGCCCAAGAGUUCAUAUCGACGGCGGUGUUUGGCACCUCGAUGUCGGCUCAUCACAUCCUGGGGCUGAAGUAGGUCCCAAGGGUAUGGCUGUUCGCCAUUUAAAGUGGUACGCGAGCUGGGUUUAGAACGUCGUGAGACAGUUCGGUCCCUAUCUGCCGUGGGCGCUGGAGAACUGAGGGGGGCUGCUCCUAGUACGAGAGGACCGGAGUGGACGCAUCACUGGUGUUCGGGUUGUCAUGCCAAUGGCACUGCCCGGUAGCUAAAUGCGGAAGAGAUAAGUGCUGAAAGCAUCUAAGCACGAAACUUGCCCCGAGAUGAGUUCUCCCUGACCCUUUAAGGGUCCUGAAGGAACGUUGAAGACGACGACGUUGAUAGGCCGGGUGUGUAAGCGCAGCGAUGCGUUGAGCUAACCGGUACUAAUGAACCGUGAGGCUUAACCUUACAACGCCGAAGCUGUU
RNAcentral lists this ribosomal RNA (2929 nucleotides) under Escherichia coli. RNAcentral's name for it is "23S ribosomal RNA". It matches the Rfam family "Bacterial large subunit ribosomal RNA". Lineage: Bacteria; Pseudomonadati; Pseudomonadota; Gammaproteobacteria; Enterobacterales; Enterobacteriaceae. The record is from RNAcentral. RNAcentral also lists the same sequence under 1 other name.